GACGAACGCUGGCGGCGUGCCUAAUACAUGCAAGUUGAGCGCUGAAGGUUGGUACUUGUACCAACUGGAUGAGCAGCGAACGGGUGAGUAACGCGUGGGGAAUCUGCCUUUGAGCGGGGGACAACAUUUGGAAACGAAUGCUAAUACCGCAUAAAAACUUUAAACACAAGUUUUAAGUUUGAAAGAUGCAAUUGCAUCACUCAAAGAUGAUCCCGCGUUGUAUUAGCUAGUUGGUGAGGUAAAGGCUCACCAAGGCGAUGAUACAUAGCCGACCUGAGAGGGUGGUCGGCCGCAUUGGGACUGAGACACGGCCCAAACUCCUGCGGGAGGCAGCAGUAGGGAAUCUUCGGCAAUGGACGAAAGUCUGACCGAGCAACGCCGCGUGAGUGAAGAAGGUUUUCGGAUCGUAAAACUCUGUUGGUAGAGAAGAACGUUGGUGAGAGUGGAAAGCUCAUCAAGUGACGGUAACUACCCAGAAAGGGACGGCUAACUACGUG
Molecule: ribosomal RNA, 497 nt
Filed under: uncultured bacterium
Lineage: Bacteria
Description: partial 16S ribosomal RNA
Rfam family: Bacterial small subunit ribosomal RNA
Source: RNAcentral